GUGUUAUGCUUGUAGUGCUAGUGGUAAAAGGCAGCACUCUAGAUGCUGAGGUUGUGGGUUCAAAUCCCACAAGACACA
Molecule: transfer RNA, 78 nt
Filed under: Cronartium ribicola 11-2
Lineage: Eukaryota; Fungi; Basidiomycota; Pucciniomycetes; Pucciniales; Coleosporiaceae
Description: tRNA-Sup (CTA) (tRNA-Sup-CTA-122-1)
Rfam family: tRNA (bases 15-78)
About the family: Transfer RNA (tRNA) molecules are approximately 80 nucleotides in length. Their secondary structure includes four short double-helical elements and three loops (D, anti-codon, and T loops).
Source: RNAcentral